Molecule: long non-coding RNA, 2458 nt
Filed under: Androctonus crassicauda
Lineage: Eukaryota; Metazoa; Arthropoda; Arachnida; Scorpiones; Buthidae
Source: RNAcentral
CUUUUCCGGACGCGGAGACCCUCCUUGGAGUCGAGAAGGACCCGUCAAGAGCCCCAAAGGUAAGAGGCUAGCGCUCGGGAUUGGGGACCUCUUCCCGCGCUUCUACCGCCCGGGAUUAGGCCCUACCGCCGCCGGAUUUUCGGCAGACCGCUCCGGAUCCCAUGGUAAUUUGAAAGCGAUGGCGGAAGCGGUAGGGAUUUGGCCCCCCGCCGGCGGAUCUAAUGUCAAUAUUGAUGUUGUUUUAUGGCCGGGCGGCUAAGUAUUGGAUUAGGGUUUAAAUGGGCGACAAUCCACACGCCGCUUUCCCUUCCCCCACUUCCAGCCACCGCGUCGCUUCGGCGGCGGGAUGGCCCGCCCGAUCAUCGGGCGGUUUCCAUCCUCCCGCCCUCCUUCUCGAUAUUUCCCGGUCCAAAUCUUCUCGCCUUCCUCCGCGGUCGGUGGCCGGAUCCGGGCUCUGGAGUUUACGCCGUCCGAGAUCGGGUGGAAAGCCCAGCAUCCGCUAGACUUUCCCGUGUUCCCGGUUGCGGGCCACGGGCGGGAACGAUAGGCGGCCUCAUCCCCACCAGGAAAAUAUCCGUCGGGGGAGGCUAAAUCCCCGCGUUUAACAGGCCGUCAUUCGUCCUCGACGGUAUUUUGACUUUAUUGGCGUUUUCCGGCUAACGAUAACCGUCACACGUUAGCUAUCAAUAAUGAAGCCAGCUCCAUAAAUAUUCGAUUUGCGAUUACGCGUUUAUCUCCGGACUCGGGAAUGGGGUGGAAAACACCGAUUGGACUUUUCUCACCCGUUCCCAUUCUGUUUUUGUUUCUUUUAGGCGGCUCGACGCCGUUUUCCAUUCGGUGAGCACUAAGCGGAGAGGGAUUACAGCGCCCAUCCCCUUCCCAUACUGGCGACAGCUGGGGGCCCGCCAUUACUGCUAUAACAGACGGAACUACGUACUUCCACUUUUCCUGGCCAAACUAUUUACGUUAUCUUGGCGGUCGGUCGAAGAUGUUGGGUGGAUAACGAAAAUACCUUAUAUUUUGUUUGUGGUAAAAAUUAUAUAGGUGGCCAGGAAUCCACUCCAUCCGUUAUUCGCCGUUCAUCUCCAUCCGUACCACCGACAGAUUGUACAGUUUAGUUGUGUAGGUUAUCCGCCUUCCGUCUCCUGGCUGGGAAUAUGUCAACACAGCCUUCGUUAUUCCGUGGUCUAAUACUACGGUCCAACAGAAGAGAUCGGGUGAUGGGCCGGCGCGUUUAACACUAAGGUUAAUUGGACCGAGUUGAUAAUUAAUUAAAAAGCGUCCCGGUUUCGGUCGAUAUUCUGCCAAUUAUUAUGGCUGUUUUAUCAACCGUUGUGGGUUGAAUAAAGCCACCGUCGACUUACGAAUGGCGUCUGGUCCCGUGUCAAUUGGAUGUGUAGAGGUGAAAAGGGGAAUGGAUCCGGUUCGGCCUCCGGCUGCCUACACGCGUCUUGGAGUAUAAUUAAUAGUUAGACGGUAGAAAGAGGCAUUCCCGCUACCAUCCGCCUGGGGAUGUCCACUGCCCGGGUGAAGGGCCACGGAUAACCAUCCGCGGCCCUUCAUCCCAACCCUAGAUAAUCGUCUUAUUCUUCAACACGCGCCGGUCCAGCUUCGGGAUGGAACCAAAGAGCCGAUGGGGGCAAAUACCGGUGUUUAUUCCCCGCUCGGGCCUCCCGGGUGGUUGGCCGAGACGGAAGAGGGAACUUUUGCCUUCGGCCGACUAGUCCGGUCCGAAAACAGGAUCUUAUUCGGUGGCCUUUGGCCAUCCAUUCCCAGUCGGCACCGCUCCAGUUAUUUAGCCACCGCUAUUCGAUUUAAGCGCAUUUUCCGUCGGUCGGAUUUAGUGGCCGACGGAAUUCACCGAUAACUUUAGGCGGACUCUGACAGGUCUCACCGCCAUCCAAAAAAUUAAUACCCAUUGAGGCUGGACAGCCGAAUGUUUCCAUCCAGUUGGAGGUAUAACCACAUCGAUAAAACCUGGCCGGUACAGCCUAUUCUUAUAUAUUAGAUAUUCUCAUAUAUUACGAUAGAUUUACGCUUAUCGGCUCUUCUCUACUAUCCUGUACAUCGAAGAAUGUACGGGAUAGUACAUUCUUCGAUGAGAGCCCCAUUCCCGAGGGCCGAAAAGUUUUUCGUCUGUCGCUUCCAUGAUUAUUAUUAAUGGGUCAAACCGGUCGGCCGAAUCGGCAGGGUGGAAACGCUUCGGCUUUCUGCUCUGGAGGACCAGGUUCGAAUCUCGGGUCCCAUCGCUUAAAACAUUUAUCACCAGGUCCGGGCUCGGCCCGUCUAUCUCCGUCCUCCUCUACUCGGCCGACCCCUCCGUCGGAGUAGGCAGCCUAUGGAAGGGCUGGUUUCGCCCCGUCAGUUACUAUUCUAAUCAGCCGAUUGUAAUCGAACGGAAAUUGGCGUCAUCUGUUGACCAAAAAAAUGAGUCGAACUGUAGGCCGGAUCGGCUGCU